GAGUAAUGUCUGGGAAACUGCCUGAUGGAGGGGGAUAACUACUGGAAACGGUAGCUAAUACCGCAUAACGUCGCAAGACCAAAGAGGGGGACCUUCGGGCCUCUUGCCAUCGGAUGUGCCCAGAUGGGAUUAGCUAGUAGGUGGGGUAACGGCUCACCUAGGCGACGAUCCCUAGCUGGUCUGAGAGGAUGACCAGCCACACUGGAACUGAGACACGGUCCAGACUCCUACGGGAGGCAGCAGUGGGGAAUAUUGCACAAUGGGCGCAAGCCUGAUGCAGCCAUGCCGCGUGUAUGAAGAAGGCCUUCGGGUUGUAAAGUACUUUCAGCGGGGAGGAAGGCGAUAAGGUUAAUAACCUUGUCGAUUGACGUUACCCGCAGAAGAAGCACCGGCUAACUCCGUGCCAGCAGCCGCGGUAAUACGGAGGGUGCAAGCGUUAAUCGGAAUUACUGGGCGUAAAGCGCACGCAGGCGGUCUGUCAAGUCGGAUGUGAAAUCCCCGGGCUCAACCUGGGAACUGCAUUCGAAACUGGCAGGCUAGAGUCUUGUAGAGGGGGGUAGAAUUCCAGGUGUAGCGGUGAAAUG
RNAcentral lists this ribosomal RNA (584 nucleotides) under Enterobacter cloacae. RNAcentral's name for it is "bacterial SSU rRNA". It matches the Rfam family "Bacterial small subunit ribosomal RNA", at positions 108 to 688 of the family's 1533-position model. Lineage: Bacteria; Pseudomonadati; Pseudomonadota; Gammaproteobacteria; Enterobacterales; Enterobacteriaceae. The record is from RNAcentral.